Molecule: ribosomal RNA, 439 nt
Filed under: uncultured bacterium
Lineage: Bacteria
Description: partial 16S ribosomal RNA
Rfam family: Bacterial small subunit ribosomal RNA
Source: RNAcentral
CUACGGGGUGCUGCAGUGAGGAAUAUUGCACAAUGGGGGGAACCCUGAUGCAGCAACGCCGCGUGGAGGAUGACGCAUUUCGGUGUGUAAACUCCUUUUAUAUGUCAAGAAAAUGACGGUAGCAUAUGAAUAAGCACCGGCUAACUCCGUGCCAGCAGCCGCGGUAAUACGGGGGGUGCAAGCGUUACUCGGAAUCACUGGGCGUAAAGGAAGCGUAGGCGGGUUGGAAAGUCAGGUGUGAAAUCCUACAGCUUAACUGUAGAACUGCACUUGAAACUUCUAAUCUAGAGUAUGGGAGGGGGAGAUGGAAUUAGUGGUGUAGGGGUAAAAUCCGUAGAUAUCACUAGGAAUACCUAAAGCGAAGGCGAUCUCCUGGAACAUUACUGACGCUAAGGCGUGAAAGCGUGGGGAGCAAACAGGAUUAGAUACCCCAGUAGUC